CAGCAGCCGCGGUAAUACGAAGGGGGCUAGCGUUGCUCGGAAUUACUGGGCGUAAAGGGCGCGUAGGCGGAUGUUUAAGUCAGAGGUGAAAGCCCAGGGCUCAACCUUGGAACUGCCUUUGAUACUGGACAUCUUGAGUAUGGGAGAGGUGAGUGGAAUUUCCGGUGUAGCGGUGAAAUGCGUAGAUAUCGGAAGGAACACCUGUGGCGAAAGCGGCUCACUGGACAAUAACUGACGCUGAUGCAUGAAAGCUAGGGGAGCAAACAGGAUUAGAUACCCCUGUAGUCCCUGUCUCUUAUAC
This 301-nucleotide ribosomal RNA is filed under the name uncultured bacterium. Its description in RNAcentral is "partial 16S ribosomal RNA". It matches the Rfam family "Bacterial small subunit ribosomal RNA", at positions 509 to 807 of the family's 1533-position model. The record is from RNAcentral.